GCUGGUGUGGCUCAAUGGCAGAGCAGCUGAUUUGUAAUCAGCAGGUUGAUGGUUCGACUCCGUUCACCAGCUCCA
RNAcentral lists this transfer RNA (75 nucleotides) under Candidatus Apopatosoma intestinale. RNAcentral describes it as "Ruminococcus sp. CAG:724 transfer RNA-Thr(TGT)". It matches the Rfam family "tRNA". From Rfam's summary of the family: Transfer RNA (tRNA) molecules are approximately 80 nucleotides in length. Their secondary structure includes four short double-helical elements and three loops (D, anti-codon, and T loops). Lineage: Bacteria; Bacillati; Bacillota; Clostridia; Eubacteriales. The record is from RNAcentral. RNAcentral also lists the same sequence under 12 other names.